This is a long non-coding RNA of Oncorhynchus mykiss (rainbow trout), 852 nucleotides long. RefSeq lists it as uncharacterized. The record is from RefSeq and is a predicted model, not a curated record. Lineage: Eukaryota; Metazoa; Chordata; Actinopteri; Salmoniformes; Salmonidae.
GCAUGACUGAUAGUAAUACCUUGGAGUGCCAUCAACAGGAUCACACAAACCGGCAACCAGCACCUGUGGAGUAGUGAUAGAGCAUGUUAUGGUUGGGAACGAGACUAGCAGGGUUAUAAACAGUGGCCUAGCUGAAUAUGAAAGAAAAGCUGAGCAACCAAUCAUAAUACUGAUGUGAAAGGCCCAUAUUGGCACUGACAUGUGGGUGCAUUCCAAAGAGGUAGUCAACCUAAUGGACAUGUUGCAACAGAUGUAAUGUUCCUCCCCAUUGAGUAUUUUCCUUAGGCCUAGUUCUUAAUCUGCCUAAGGAACUGUUACUUUACUGUACUUGAAAUGCCUUCAGACUAGACUGUAUCCAUAUCUAAAGACAAGCUUGUGCAAUGGCUCUUCAAAUGGAAAAAGGCCUGAACAGGUUGGCUCUCUGAAUGGACACAUCCCCAGAGCAGGGAAACAGAGCACACCUAACCAGCCUGAGAGGAUGUUGUCACAGGGGGUAUUUGGAAGCCCAGUAGUCUCUGUAGACAGAGUCAUUUCCCUGAUAUGUAGAACCCAUAGCACCAGGCCCUGCAACCUGCCUCAACUAACACCCGUACCCUGUCAUAACACACACACCUUGCCCUGCCACAACUGGGUAAAUGAAGUGUCAUCAAGGACAGACACUCUGAAGAGUUUUGUGAUUAUUGCAUCAUUGGUCCAGAAGCUAUGGCAAAAUCAUUAUACAUUAUUUAUUGGACACGUGUAGGCUAUCUAUACCUUAUCUAAAAUAAUCUCUAUUUUCUUUAAAGACAACUUUAUUAAGGCAGGGUAACAAGUCCUGUGAAGGAAUUCAUUAUAAAAGUGUAUUGCAACAGA